UACAGAGGGUGCGAGCGUUAAUCGGAAUUACUGGGCGUAAAGCGUGCGUAGACGGCUAUCUAAGUCGGGUGUGAAAGCCCCGGGCUCAACCUGGGAAUUGCAUUCGAGACUGAAUAGCUAGGGUACGGUAGAGGGAAGCGGAAUUUCCGGUGUAGCGGUGAAAUGCGUAGAUAUCGGAAGGAACAUCAGUGGCGAAGGCGGUUCUCUGGGACGGUACUGACGCUGAGACGCGAAAGCGUGGGGAGCGAACAGG
RNAcentral lists this ribosomal RNA (253 nucleotides) under uncultured bacterium. Its description in RNAcentral is "partial 16S ribosomal RNA". It matches the Rfam family "Bacterial small subunit ribosomal RNA", at positions 524 to 776 of the family's 1533-position model. The record is from RNAcentral.